AACGAACGCUGGCGGCAUGCCUAACACAUGCAAGUCGAACGAGACCUUCGGGUCUAGUGGCGCACGGGUGCGUAACGCGUGGGAACCUGCCCUUAGGUUCGGAAUACCUCCCCGAAAGGGGUGCUAAUACCGGAUAAUGUCUUCUAACCAAGGAUUUAUCGCCUUUGGAUGGGCCCGCGUUGGAUUAGCUAGUUGGUAGGGUAAAAGCCUACCAAGGCGACGAUCCAUAGCUGGUCUGAGAGGAUGAUCAGCCACACUGGGACUGAGACACGGCCCAGACUCCUACGGGAGGCAGCAGUGGGGAAUAUUGGACAAUGGGCGAAAGCCUGAUCCAGCAAGGCCGCGUGAGUGAUGAAGGCAUUAGGGUUGUAAAGCUCUUUUACCCGGGAUGAUAAGGACAGUACCGGGAGAAUAAGCUCCGGCUAACUCCGU
This 432-nucleotide ribosomal RNA is filed under the name uncultured bacterium. RNAcentral describes it as "partial 16S ribosomal RNA". It matches the Rfam family "Bacterial small subunit ribosomal RNA", at positions 29 to 506 of the family's 1533-position model. The record is from RNAcentral.